UACGUAGGUGGCAAGCGUUGUCCGGAUUUAUUGGGUCUAAAGGGUGCGUAGGCGGUCUUAUAAGUCAGUGCUGAAAUAUCCCGGCUUAACCGGGAGGGUGGCAUUGAUACUGUAGGACUUGAGUAAAGUUGAGGUUGGCGGAAUUGACGGUGUAGCGGUGAAAUGCUUAGAUAUCGUCAAGAACACCUAUAGCGAAGGCAGCUAGCUAAGCUUUAACUGACGCUGAGGCACGAAAGUGUGGGGAUCAAACAGG
RNAcentral lists this ribosomal RNA (253 nucleotides) under uncultured bacterium. RNAcentral describes it as "partial 16S ribosomal RNA". It matches the Rfam family "Bacterial small subunit ribosomal RNA", at positions 524 to 776 of the family's 1533-position model. The record is from RNAcentral.